Molecule: long non-coding RNA, 310 nt
Filed under: Capsicum annuum
Lineage: Eukaryota; Viridiplantae; Streptophyta; Magnoliopsida; Solanales; Solanaceae
Description: long non-coding RNA (CANN_LNC000980)
Source: RNAcentral
CAAGAUGAUUUUUACAACACUUAGAACACAAAGGAUAGUUAGGUUUUCUACUCAUACUAUUCUGAGACCUGGACAUAGAAGUCUUACCUCAUUGUUCCUGUCGAGACCUAGGGGCGGGAGCACUAGCUGAAGACAGCACUGGCAUAGAUGAAUGAAUAUGAAACUACAAAUGAUUUACCCCUCCAAACUUAGCUUGUCCAUAAUCAAACUCCUUGAUUCUAGCCUUCUUAUUUCCCCUCUUGCUCCCUUUUAAAUUUUCUACCUCAAUCUAUUGAGCAUGAAUUAUCAGUCUAGAAAGAUCCAUAUCCCC